GAUGAACGCUGGCGGCGUGCCUAAUACAUGCAAGUCGAGCGAACGGACGAGAAGCUUGCCUCUCUGAUGUUAGCGGCGGACGGGUGAGUAACACGUGGAUAACCUACCUAUAAGACUGGGAUAACUUCGGGAAACCGGAGCUAAUACCGGCUAAUAUUUUGCACCGCAUGGUUCAAAAGUGAAAGACGUUCUUGCUGUCACUUAUAGAUGGAUCCGCGCUGCAUUAGCUAGUUGGUAAGGUAACGGCUUACCAAGGCAACGAUGCAUAGCCGACCUGAGAGGAUGAUCAGCCACACUGGAACUGAGACACGGUCCAGACUCCUACGGGAGGCAGCAGUAGGGAAUAUUCCGCAAUGGGCGAAAGCCUGACGGAGCAACGCCGCGUGAGUGAAGAAGGUCUUCGGAUCGUAAAGCUCUGUUAUUAGGGAAGAACAGAUGUGAAAGUAACUGUGCACGUCUUGACGGUACCUAAACAAAAAGCCACGGCUAACUACGUG
Molecule: ribosomal RNA, 497 nt
Filed under: uncultured bacterium
Lineage: Bacteria
Description: partial 16S ribosomal RNA
Rfam family: Bacterial small subunit ribosomal RNA
Source: RNAcentral